This 1823-nucleotide long non-coding RNA is filed under the name Brassica napus (rape). RNAcentral's name for it is "long non-coding RNA (BNAP_LNC009801)". The record is from RNAcentral. Lineage: Eukaryota; Viridiplantae; Streptophyta; Magnoliopsida; Brassicales; Brassicaceae.
GCAUUAGCUAGAAAAAAAUUGUUAUGAAAUUGUUAAAUUAAAGGAAAAUUGCACGCUAUAGCGUCCAAAAAAUUAUAAUUCACUAUCUGACAUUUUGACCUACUUUGUUACAAUACAAUGUAUAUUUUCUAUAAUAAUGUAAUUAUGCCCUUCUCAACUACCGACGAAACCUGCAACCAGAAUUAAUUUAAAAUAAAUAAUUAAUUGCUGUAAAAUAUAAAUUGUGGUUCCUCGUUAUCCACAUAUGUCUCUCAAAUUAGCUUUUAAUAGGUUGAAAAGGCAACACAACCGUCUGAAUUCCUGUCGGCGAGAGAAGAAGACCGCUUUCCACGUCUCGUGCACUGAGAGAAGGGGAAGCUAGCUUCCAGGAUUUUGAAAUUGAGACGCGCAAAUAAGACAACAUCGUAGCAGCGGCGAGGUGAAGUCACGAUUUCCAGUUAGACUUCACAGAUCCAUAUUCCAGAAGAGAAUUUCAAGCCAGUAAGAUUUUGGUGCUCUCUUAUACCCUCCAAAUUAGAAAUAACUUUUUGUUGCAUGUGUGAAUCGCUAUUGAAAAACUCAGAAACCCGAAAAUUUGUUUAUUUGCGUUUGGAUGCUGUGUUCAUUCUAUUCUAUUUUUGAAUCUUGUAUCUUGUACAUAGAAUAGAUUUGAGAACACAUGUAAUCGAAUAGACUUAUGUAUUCUUGUAAAUAGAAUAGUGUAUUAUUGUAUGUAUAACAUUGAAAUUUGGCGUAUGGCUCGUUCUUCUAUUAGAAUAACACGCGUUAGAAAAGAUCUUGACUUGUGUAAAUUUCGCAUAAAUUUCUAUUAUUCUAUUUAUAAUGAUUAUAUUUUACAGUUAAAUGUAAAUUAUUACUAUGAAUAAUCUAUAUUGUAUAGUUCAAUAUUACAUAAUAUAGUUUAAUACUACAUAAUAUUAUGUACUAUUUUCCGAUUUUUCAGAUUUUGAUAUUUGGGUUUGGGUUUAUUGAUUAGAGUUUAGGGUUUAGUAUUAGGAAGGUGGGUGUUGAAGUUGGAGUUAUUAUUAAUUUCUUUCAUACAAUCAUAAACAUUUUAUAAUUUCACCAAUAUAUACUAUAUUAUUUAUUUGGUUCCAUUCUAUUUGGGUUAAGGGUUUAUAUUUUGGUUUAAGAUUUAGGGAUUAGAGUUUAGGGUUAAGUAUUUAGGGGUUUGGGUGGGGUUGGGAUAUGAUUUAUAUAUUAGGGAUUGAAAUAUGGUUCGUGUGUUAUACUAUUUUGGUGAUAUGAAAUAGAACAUUUUGGUUUGACUGCGAGAAGUAAAUGGAAUACACCAUUUAUUGAAAUAGUGUUCUAUUUGUAUCUAGAUAUUUUCUGAGCACCGUAAAAACAUUAUGAUUAUUGGGUAUUUCCUCAGUCUUAUAUUAUUUUAAUGAUAUGAAUAUUUUUAUUAAAAAGUUUUAUAUUUUUAUCCACUCAUUUUAUUUCAUCCCGUGAAUAUGGGUAAAAUAAAUUAAUAUGUUACGUGGCUGGCUUUGCAUAAUUUGAUAGUGGAUAAUGCUGCUUAUCUUUUUUCCAUAUCUUCUAUCUUUGACGUAAUCUACACUCUUUAUCUUUUACCGGUUACUUGCAAAUGAAAAGGAUAUAACCGACUCAAAUGAUGCUUAAAUGUUAGUUUGUUAAUAAUGUCAAAAUCAAUAACAUAUUCUUAAUAUCUAUUCAGAAUUUUGUUAUUCAGCAAAUUAACCCUAAAUUAAGUAUACAUAAGAAACUGCAGAGCAUUUCACGCGCAAGCUUCAUCGUGUUCUCCACCGCGAAAAGACAUAGAGUCUGAAUGUGAGGCAGAGAAAAAGCAGAACAAAAGC